Molecule: small nucleolar RNA, 100 nt
Filed under: Carlito syrichta (Philippine tarsier)
Lineage: Eukaryota; Metazoa; Chordata; Mammalia; Primates; Tarsiidae
Description: Small nucleolar RNA SNORA25 (ENSTSYG00000031786.1)
Source: RNAcentral
AAGUCGUUUCAAAGAGGGCUUGUGCUAUGACCAAAAUCAAAGUCUUCUACAGGAUGCCAUAGCACUCAACAGAGUCAUAUAUUCUUGAGAAGAUAUAAUA